Molecule: long non-coding RNA, 3506 nt
Filed under: Sus scrofa (pig)
Lineage: Eukaryota; Metazoa; Chordata; Mammalia; Artiodactyla; Suidae
Description: lncRNA (ENSSSCG00005037870.1)
Source: RNAcentral
CAAAGCCUCAGGUUACUCAGCCACCACACACUGGCCACCUCGGAAGGUGUGUGCACUGGAUACGAAGCCCAGGACCCUCUGAUGGCGCAAACCACGCAGAACACGCCAGCCCAGGGCCUGUGGGGUUAGCGCUGCUAUGGGAACUUGAACUUUCACAUUUCCUGACUGUGCAAGGCAGCGGGUUGGGGAACCAAGCUAGAAUUCUAAUGUGUGACUCUUGUCUCAGACCAGGUUUCUGCAUUUUAAGUUCCUGGAAGAUCAGAGGGGAGUUUGUGAGAGGUGCAGCCCAGACAGAAAGCUGACCUUUCUGAAGAGUCUGCAGCCGGUCUCCAAAGGUCACAGCUCUCUUACUAAGCACAAUCAGCAAGAACUCCUGGUGGCACAGGGGUUUGCGGGGAAAGAUUAUAUCCAAAGUUGGAAGUGAUUUUUAAAUCUGUACCUAAAUUUAAAAGAAUAAGCAGCACAGUUGUCCAGAGUUCAUUUUGCCAUUAAACACAGGAACUCUUGGGCACCAGGAGGUGAAAGCGGCCAGACCAGAGGGCCUCUGACCACCUACAUCGAUGACAAUACAGAAACCGAAGGUGCGUGUCAGCCUUCCUGCGCUCCCACUGCGGGCGGAGUAAUAAGCACAGGCAGUACCCAAAGUGAGGCUCACAGGCUCGGCUGUCCUGCCUGCCCAUGAAGAGUGUCCCUCGCUCCCCUGCUCAUUGAAAGGCACGAAGAGCUUUCCAACACUUGGAACGGGUAAAGAGAACAAGCUCUUGCACAGGCUGCCUCUUAACAUAUGAAGUGCGUUCAAACUCCAACCUAGUUGCCACACGGUCUCCUUAAAACUUCAAUAAAGCAGGAAACAUGUACAGACCUAUGGACUUGUACGUGCCCAAAGCCUUACUUAUCUAUAAACUUUGCUCUUACUAACGAUCAACAGUUAGUUUCCCCAAGGGGAAACACAUAUGCCCGUGAGUAUGAGUUUGCCUUUUGAGGUGUUACGGUCUUGACAGCCUUUUCCAAGAGAAGCCAAGGUUGGGCUGCCAGGGGCCUUCCCUCGAAACAGCAGCGACGGCCACUCCCUGGCUCCUGCUGUCACGAGCCCCAAGCUCAGGCACUGUGACACCCACUCUGGGCCACACUCUCAUCUGGACACAGGUAAAGGGUUAAAAAGGGCCAAUUGUACCUCUCGACAAGACUUCUGUACAUAUUUGGGACAGAAGCGAAUGAAUUCAAAUCUUAUGAGUUGGUCCUCUGGCCCCAGGCUGACUGUGUUUGGGCUGGUUUUGCCAGAAGACUUGAGCUGAGGCGGGAGAUGCUGGAAGUCAGGGGAGCAGCUGCUGCUCCCUCGUCCCAUCUUCCCAGCAGCUGGAGGGAGCCUCCCCAGCCCCAAAGCUAUCGUUUCCACAUUGCAUGCACCUGGAGGAGAAACACCCUUAGAGUCAAAGGCUCAGGAGUCGGGAAGAACACUUCUACACGCAUGGUCCCAUCUCCCCAGAUCCCCAGGGCAGCAUUUUCAGAUGUAACAACUGAAGAGCCAUCCAGAGCAGACGAAGCUGGUUUUGCACCUGAGACGCCGAACGUCUGGGUCUAUGGCCAGCGGUACAGCACGGGGGGCCGCUCAGCGCUGUCUUCGCGCGCGAGGUGAGUCAGGGACCCUGUCCAGGCAAAGCUCAAGGAUCCUGGGGCAGCUGCAGCACAAUGGCAUCUGCUCGGACUACAGGUGCCCAGGGGUGUUUCAGUCGAAUUCUUCCAAGAGUCAUGGUCCAAGCAGGUACUGACACGCUCAAUAGCAUGUUAGAAUCUCAGUUUGAGAUAAGAGCAAAGCAACUCUUCUAAAAAUAGCCACCAAAACACGGGCAGAAGAUCGCUGUGGUCUCGAGAGAAAGGCCGUGGCUCACUUCCUUCCGUACACACAAGCCCUCCAACCACUUCUGUUUCUCGACACGACUGGUAACCAAGGACGUUCUCUGGCACUUCUUCCCCUUCCAGACCUCGGCCACCACUGUCUUCCUAGCGAUCCUGUACAACCUCUCCUCCACCACCUCAAUCAUAAGGACUGGCUUUUUCUGCGAAAUAAGAGGUAGAGUGGAAACACGGGGCUCGGGCCGGACCCAUGUGCCUGAGUCCAGCCCCUGCCCUUGCCUGCUCUGAUGCUACACCUCCUGCACCUGCUUCCACCCCUGUCCACUCCCCACAUUGGUCCAUCCAACAGGAGCCUCCCCUCUCUCCCAAACAGGUAGAUCUCACAAAAGUAUUGCACAACCUGUGAUUUCUCGCUCUCCCACCGUGAAAAGCCAAGGCUGUAGUCAGGUCCAGCCUUCCACAGCUUUCAGACGGGCUGGGCACACAGGGUCCUAACACAAGGCUAUGUGGGCUGUACUCCUGACAUGCAAGACUUGUAGGCAGUCGGGCUUGGGAAUCAUGAAGGAUCAAUCUCGACAAGCCUGUGGAUUCCCAAACUCGGGAAUACCAUGGCUUCCAGCUUCCCUGAGGAAAUGCAGUCACACAUAAUGCCAGAAGGGUCACUGUGUCUGAGCUAAACUAGCUGCCAAGGUGAGCCUGAGAUGCAGAGGCUGGGUUUCUGGGAGCACUUCUGGGCCUCUCAGCCGCCGACACAGUUCAAAUCCGGGCUCAGGGAAACUUUCGUCUCCUCCACAUCACGGUCCUUCCAAGUCACUGAGUGCGGUGGCACAGCUGUAACCCUGCUGGGGCUCCACGCUGAGCCCUGCCCCCCUUUCUCCAAAGCCCAGUCUCACGGGUCUCAUACAACUGUGAGGCUCUGGAAGGGACAGCAAUUAUGACUCUCUCUUGGAGUGGACAACAGAGCUAAAGUGGCAUCGGAGAUGUACUCAGCUGUGGGGAACAGAGGGCAGGACUUUCUUAACUAGAAAAAACUCAUCUCUCAACUCCAACAAGCUUUCCAAGUGCAGGUCCCUAUGGGUGGCCACUAGCCACGUGAAGCUGCAGAGCUCUUGAAACGAAGCUGGUCCCAGGGGAGACGUGCUGUCAGUGUAAAAGCACGCCAGAUUCUGAAGACUCGGUAUCCCCCAAAGACGCAAAACGCCUCAUGUUUUACGUACUGAACACAUGCUGAAUUGAGAGUCUUUUGGGUAUAUCAGGUUAAAUAAAACAUGUUACUAAAAUCUUGCCACCUGUUUCUUUCUUACUUUAUUAAUGUGGCUCCCAGAAGAUUUAAGAUUACAUGUGUGGCUCAUAUACUAUUUCUACGGGACAAAAUGCAAAGGCUUCCAGAGAAAGGGUGAACCUGAUGAAGAUUUGGUUUGAGGCAUCCUUUAUGGAAUUAGACUUCUCACACACCCCACACGCACGGCACGGCGCUGCUCAGUGGAAGCUGCAGGGGCACAGACCUCGGUGGGGCCCCCGCCCUCCUGCAGGGGGGCAGCUGUGCUCGGUAUCAAGGCCCCUCUGUUCUGACGGCUUCACAGUCAUUCAUUCUUAACAUGUCCAAAUAAUACACCAGUAAGCAACUUACAGGUUUUGAGAGGGCAGGAUCU